Molecule: long non-coding RNA, 1755 nt
Filed under: Mus musculus (house mouse)
Lineage: Eukaryota; Metazoa; Chordata; Mammalia; Rodentia; Muridae
Description: long non-coding RNA chr4:99829442-99831197
Source: RNAcentral
GCAGUUGCUAUGGUAAUCUAAAAAAGGCGGAGGUCUGUCCGGUUGCGCCGAGAGGUUCGCGGAUCUACUAACGAAAAUUGGCUGCUCUUCUUGGUUUGUGAGCUGAAAUUAGGUAGCCACCAAGCCUCUCUCUUGCUCUGUCGCUCGCUCUGCUCUUCAUUGUGCGGCCGCCUCUCCCAUCUGCUACGUUUACUUCUGUGUCCUCCUAAGAGCCGGUGCAUGCCCCGAAACACACAAGGGGAUGCAGCAUCGUGGCCAGAGGAGUACAAAAAACGGAGAGAGCUUGUCUGGGAUUAGUUGUGACUGUUUCACGGUGCAGCGACGGUGACUGGAUGGCUCUCUGUUUUCAUUUGGCCCUUUAGACGCCUUAGGCGCUUUUAACAGUUUAUUUUUCCUGCUUAUUGUGUGCCUAGUUAUUUAUGGAGCCGUUUGCUACAAUAUACUCUCCAGGCCCCUGUCUCAGACUUGGGCUAGAAUUUUAAAUAAAAGGUGGUUUCCGAGCCCUAGGGGUGCAAUUAUAUAUUUAUUUAAGCUUCAGUUUGGACUGUCUUCACAGGAAGGGAAAGAAUAGAAUUCUGGAACAUUUCUGUCCAGGGAUUUUCAUGUGAGAAUAACCCCAUUUGGAAGGAGCACUUGAAGAUCCUUAAAAAUGUUUUUAAAUUGCUUGCUGUAAGCCGAGUGCUUGCUCUUCCUUAUUGGAAUAGUUUUCUUUCCCGUUUGUGAGAUGGCGCGCACGCAUAUGUGUUUAAAACCGAUGUUUAAUUAUGGUGAUACCAAUUUGCAGUAACCAGACUGUGACACCACAUCCCUAUGGGGUCCUUCUAAAUCUGGUGUAAUAUGAAAGUGUCAGGCAGGCGGUCUGUGUAUUAUAAAUAGGGUACUUCAUCCAUGAUAAGCGAUUAUUAUCUUUCUUUCCCAAGUGUAAAAGACCUACAUAAUUCAAGAAGGUGCCAGUGAUUUAGGCCUCCUGAGUAUGAAUCCAAUGAGUCCUGAAGGGGACCCUACCUGUGUCAUCUUAUUGUUCAACUUGAACUAUUCAAUUUAUUAGAUUGGAAUGUAUUUUUAGAAGUCAACGCAGGAUAAAGCAAUGUUGGAAGCCAUUAGACCACCAGAACAAUUUUGCCCUGCAUAGUAGCCUUUGUUCAAUAAACCUUCAUUCACAUUAAAAGAAGAAAUGACUGAGAUUUCACAAAUUACCACUGACUGGGUGACAUCUCUGUCCCUCAAUUUCAUCAUCUGUAAAAUGGACAAAAAGUGCCUGGUCAGUGUAGAAAGGAUUAAAUAAGACGUUUGAUUGUAUAUUAAUGUCUUAUGAGCAGACAUGCUGUAUAGACACUAAAUAUUAUUACUAGUAAAGGAACUUUAUAAAGCUCAAUGUAAUCGGUGGAACUUCAAAUAUCCAGUGAUUUGACAUGAGCUGUAUUAUAGAAAUGUGAAUGAAAUGAUAGUUAAUCCUGCUAUGGGGGGAUCCAACUGCAGUUGAUUUGCAUUAAAAAAAAAACCUCACUGUUGGGGAAUUUCACUCCAUGUAUGUUUUCUUUAGCAUUUGUGUGUCCUGAAGUAUUCUGUAUGUUUCACAUUUGUGAACUGUUGUAAUCUUAACAACCCUGUGAAGUCUCCCCUGAAGUCUUAUUUUGAGAUGAUGCAUGUAUGCAUUUUCUUUGUUCUGAUUCUUUUGGAUUAUGCUACAUCAUUGUUCUUUAGGAUAUCAUUGUAUAUUUGAGAAAUUAUAUACAGUGUGUAUAUCUAUCCAUC